Molecule: ribosomal RNA, 245 nt
Filed under: uncultured Bacillota bacterium
Lineage: Bacteria; Bacillati; Bacillota
Description: uncultured Firmicutes bacterium partial 16S ribosomal RNA
Rfam family: Bacterial small subunit ribosomal RNA
Source: RNAcentral
UACGUAGGGGGCGAGCGUUGUCCGGAAUGACUGGGCGUAAAGGGCGUGUAGGCGGCGAUUUAAGUUUGGAGUGAAAGUCCCGUUUUCAAGAUGGGAAUUGCUUUGGAUACUGGAUUGCUUGAGUACAGAAGAGGUAAGCGGAAUUCCCGGUGUAGCGGUGAAAUGCGUAGAGAUCGGGAGGAACACCAGUGGCGAAGGCGGCUUACUGGGCUGUAACUGACGCUGAGGCGCGAAAGCGUGGGGAG